AUCAAUACAAUAAGAAUAUUUGUGAAUUAUUUGCGUUGGAAGUAAGAAACCAGAAACAUACAUAUUAUGUAGCAACAAAUUUCCUAGUUGCCCAUGGGAAAAUGGGACUGCUUCAGGAUUUACAUAUAUGUAAACACGAGUCCACCUGAAAAAGUACUUCAUGCUGAUUGAAGCGAGGGUUGAAGUCAUUUUAAGAGGAGCUGCUUCAAUCAAUAAUUUUCAAUUUGCAGACUCAGCGCCAGGUACCAAAGCAAACAAGGAAAACAUUCUGUGCAGUUCUUUCAAUCUUGUCCCCAAUUACCAGAAUUGUAGAUUAAAAGGAGUUUAUGGUUCAGAGGACUGGUUUUGACCGAGCUCUGAGCUCAACAUAUGGUGGAGGAGCAUAUCAACUCUUUGACUACGAGUUUUUGCGCCAACAUAUCGGCGCCGAGGCCUUGCAUCUCUUUCAUCCUUAUCUUCACCUUGUUCUGAUGUCUCUAGUUCCAUUUCAGCAAAGAAUGCCUCCAAGACAAAAGCAACAACCAAAUUCAAAAGCAAGAGAACAGUUAUAAGGUAGAAGCUGAUGAAAUAUGCAAGGGACCAAGAGCUUCCUGUCAAGUCCUUAUAGCUCUGCAUCCAAAUUUGCCAAUUCCCCAUCACUAGCAGAUUAAAAAGUGUCACCAUGCCAUUUGGAUAGUCAUUAAAAUUGAAAAGUAUAUAAUCGGAAUCAGCAAGAUCUGUGUCUUCCAGAUUGGGGUUCCCAGCAUUGACAAUUCCACCAAAGAUCUGUACACCAAGAGAACAAUAUAUACAUAGGACACAAAAUAUUGUGCCCAGAUAUGGCAUCAAACUUGGUAUGAGGGUUAAGAAUGUGGCAACAAAAGCUCGGUAACUUCGGACAUGCAUCAACAACCUUAUCAAUCUUAACAUUCUUGCCAGGAGAAGGUAACGAAUCCAUUCUCCAUUUGAAGAGUCCAUGAGGCGAUGCAAAAGUUAGAGUUUCUCCAAUAACUAUUACCCAUGUGAUCAGAAAAUCAAAUCGAUUUUGACCAUCCCUCCAGUAGUUCUCAAAACCAAGAGAGUAUACUUUUAGUGCCAUUUCCAGAACGUAGAUCCAACCAAAGACAAAUUCCACCACUUGCCACACUUUUUGAGCAGAAUUAUUUUCUAUAUCAAGCGUUGUUUCGAUGAUAACGGCAAUCAGAUUCACAAGAAGAAUGAAGGAUAUUAUAUAGCCAAAUUUGGGGCCCCUUACGAAGGCUUUCAGAUUUUCAGAGAAUGGUGAAAGGUAGAUUGAAGGACAAUUCUCAAAGAUAGAUGGAACAUCUUCUUUCUGGAAUCUAAGAGCAAUUGCAUUGCAAAGGUCAGCAAAUUCUUCCAAGUUGAUCUUGAAAUCACGAGUAUCAUCCAGCUCAUCAAAUAUCAACUCGAAUUCUUCUCUUGAUAUUUUUGGCAGAGUCCUGUAUUUGUUAAGUUCUUCAAACAAAUGAAUACAUUGCUCCUUAUUAAGAUAUCCAACAUUAUACUUAUCAAUGAGGUUGAAGGCUUUCAUCAACAUUCUUUUCCUCAUGCUAUCUGAGGCAGAAACUUGUUUUGCAAGCUGACNNNGAAGCUAUCAUAUACAACAGCAAGGACCAAGUUUGUGACAAAGUACACACCCAGUAGCACGUAGAGAACAAAAAACAAGCAAUACCAACGUGAAUCCUUGUAUGCAGGUAUCC
Molecule: unclassified non-coding RNA, 1700 nt
Filed under: Hevea brasiliensis (rubber tree)
Lineage: Eukaryota; Viridiplantae; Streptophyta; Magnoliopsida; Malpighiales; Euphorbiaceae
Source: RNAcentral